Long non-coding RNA from Gossypium arboreum, 1063 nucleotides. RefSeq lists it as uncharacterized. The record is from RefSeq and is a predicted model, not a curated record. Lineage: Eukaryota; Viridiplantae; Streptophyta; Magnoliopsida; Malvales; Malvaceae. The transcript has 2 exons.
AUCAAUAAUUCCUAAAUUCUGUUUAAAAUUAUUAAAUUUCUAAAUGUUAUAAAAUUAUUAUAAAAUAAUAACCUAACCAUUCCUCUAUUUUUUCCAUGUGAAUAAGUCGUCUUCUCUUCUCUAAAUCAGCUUACAAAGAAGCCUUUCUACCUACCCACUCUUAAGUCCUAAAGGAUCCUAGUUGUUUUUGUUGCCGCGCCGCUAGCCUUGCCGUCGGUGGCCUUCUCGGGUCAAUAAUGCCAUCAAACAGUUCCUUGUACUGUCUCCUUUCUAUAUCCCCAGUUGGAAUUUCGCAAAAUGCCCCUCAAAAAUCAGUGUCUCGAUUUUGUUUUCGACACUUUAUGGCUCUUACCUCUCCAUUAGUCGUUGAAUAGACUUGAGAUUUCGACGGAUGUUUUUUCCAUUUAAAUCUCCCAAAGAUUCAUUGGAGGCCCCAAUUUCGAAAUGACCAAAAAUGGAUUUUUUAUGGAUUUGUUUGUUGUUGCCUUGGUGGGUCCAUGGGUUCAGUGAGAACAAUGGUUGGAUUAUGUUGAGACUCAAAGGUGCUGAAUUGAGGGGUGUAAUGGUGUUUGUCAGUGAUAGAAGACAGGUAAAGGGUGACGGUGAAGGGUUAGUGCAGAAUUUUGGAGCGAAAAUAUGUGACAUUUAACAUACCCGAUCCGGUUAGGAAAAAAAUUGGGUCCAAUACAUGAUACAAGGCAUUGCAAAGUUGAAUUGAAAUUUCUUAUAUGAAAGGAAAGGAAUCAAAGUAUAAUAAAGUAAAUCACAGACCUAAUAGAAGACUUUGAGAUGAGUUUAACAUCAAUUUUGAAUUUAAUCAUUUGACAACUUCUAUCCCCUACCUUUAUCCAAAAAAAGUGUAGUAAUAUAAACUUCUAUUGUUACAUUUUAAUCCUGGAACCUGCUCUCUUUUUUUUCUUUUUCAAUCCAACCUAUCAGUUUCGCUUUCCCAAUCAGCAGGAAUUUCAUUUCUCUGCCAAAUAUUUUUACCAUACAAAAGGGUAAGCAAGGGCUGCAACAAAACUAGCUCAUCUUUCUACCUGCUCCUGCUCCACUCUGUUUU